Molecule: ribosomal RNA, 463 nt
Filed under: uncultured bacterium
Lineage: Bacteria
Description: partial 16S ribosomal RNA
Rfam family: Bacterial small subunit ribosomal RNA
Source: RNAcentral
GAUGAACGCUGACAGAAUGCUUAACACAUGCAAGUCUUUGGCGAAUCUGUGCUUGCACCGGCUAGCCAAGGCGGACGGGUGAGUAACGCGUAAAGAACUUGCCCUGCAGACAGGGAUAACAGACGGAAACGACUGAUAACACCUGAUACAGUUGCCGGCACGCAUGUGCCUGGCAAUGAAAAGAGAUGCUGCAGGAGAGCUUUGCGUCCUAUUAGCUUGUUGGUGAGGUGACGGCUCACCAAGGCGAUGAUAGGUAGCCGGCCUGAGAGGGUGAACGGCCACAAGGGGACUGAGAUACGGCCGUUACUCCUACGGGAGGCAGCAGUGGGGAAUAUUGGACAAUGGGGGCAACCCUGAUCCAGCAAUUCUGUGUGCACGAAGAAGGUUUUCGGAUUGUAAAGUGCUUUCAGCAGGGAAGAAGAAAGUGACGGUACCUGCAGAAGAAGCGACGGCUAAAUACGUG